GUCCCUGUAGCGCAAUGGAUAGCGCGUUGGAAUUCUAAUCCAAAGGUCGUGGAUUCGAAUUCCACCUAGGAUG
RNAcentral lists this transfer RNA (73 nucleotides) under Trichonephila inaurata madagascariensis. It matches the Rfam family "tRNA". From Rfam's summary of the family: Transfer RNA (tRNA) molecules are approximately 80 nucleotides in length. Lineage: Eukaryota; Metazoa; Arthropoda; Arachnida; Araneae; Nephilidae. The record is from Rfam by way of RNAcentral.